Molecule: ribosomal RNA, 2901 nt
Filed under: Escherichia coli
Lineage: Bacteria; Pseudomonadati; Pseudomonadota; Gammaproteobacteria; Enterobacterales; Enterobacteriaceae
Description: 23S ribosomal RNA
Rfam family: Bacterial large subunit ribosomal RNA
Source: RNAcentral
UUAAGCGACUAAGCGUACACGGUGGAUGCCCUGGCAGUCAGAGGCGAUGAAGGACGUGCUAAUCUGCGAUAAGCGUCGGUAAGGUGAUAUGAACCGUUAUAACCGGCGAUUUCCGAAUGGGGAAACCCAGUGUGUUUCGACACACUAUCAUUAACUGAAUCCAUAGGUUAAUGAGGCGAACCGGGGGAACUGAAACAUCUAAGUACCCCGAGGAAAAGAAAUCAACCGAGAUUCCCCCAGUAGCGGCGAGCGAACGGGGAGCAGCCCAGAGCCUGAAUCAGUGUGUGUGUUAGUGGAAGCGUCUGGAAAGGCGCGCGAUACAGGGUGACAGCCCCGUACACAAAAAUGCACAUGCUGUGAGCUCGAUGAGUAGGGCGGGACACGUGGUAUCCUGUCUGAAUAUGGGGGGACCAUCCUCCAAGGCUAAAUACUCCUGACUGACCGAUAGUGAACCAGUACCGUGAGGGAAAGGCGAAAAGAACCCCGGCGAGGGGAGUGAAAAAGAACCUGAAACCGUGUACGUACAAGCAGUGGGAGCACGCUUAGGCGUGUGACUGCGUACCUUUUGUAUAAUGGGUCAGCGACUUAUAUUCUGUAGCAAGGUUAACCGAAUAGGGGAGCCGAAGGGAAACCGAGUCUUAACUGGGCGUUAAGUUGCAGGGUAUAGACCCGAAACCCGGUGAUCUAGCCAUGGGCAGGUUGAAGGUUGGGUAACACUAACUGGAGGACCGAACCGACUAAUGUUGAAAAAUUAGCGGAUGACUUGUGGCUGGGGGUGAAAGGCCAAUCAAACCGGGAGAUAGCUGGUUCUCCCCGAAAGCUAUUUAGGUAGCGCCUCGUGAAUUCAUCUCCGGGGGUAGAGCACUGUUUCGGCAAGGGGGUCAUCCCGACUUACCAACCCGAUGCAAACUGCGAAUACCGGAGAAUGUUAUCACGGGAGACACACGGCGGGUGCUAACGUCCGUCGUGAAGAGGGAAACAACCCAGACCGCCAGCUAAGGUCCCAAAGUCAUGGUUAAGUGGGAAACGAUGUGGGAAGGCCCAGACAGCCAGGAUGUUGGCUUAGAAGCAGCCAUCAUUUAAAGAAAGCGUAAUAGCUCACUGGUCGAGUCGGCCUGCGCGGAAGAUGUAACGGGGCUAAACCAUGCACCGAAGCUGCGGCAGCGACGCUUAUGCGUUGUUGGGUAGGGGAGCGUUCUGUAAGCCUGCGAAGGUGUGCUGUGAGGCAUGCUGGAGGUAUCAGAAGUGCGAAUGCUGACAUAAGUAACGAUAAAGCGGGUGAAAAGCCCGCUCGCCGGAAGACCAAGGGUUCCUGUCCAACGUUAAUCGGGGCAGGGUGAGUCGACCCCUAAGGCGAGGCCGAAAGGCGUAGUCGAUGGGAAACAGGUUAAUAUUCCUGUACUUGGUGUUACUGCGAAGGGGGGACGGAGAAGGCUAUGUUGGCCGGGCGACGGUUGUCCCGGUUUAAGCGUGUAGGCUGGUUUUCCAGGCAAAUCCGGAAAAUCAAGGCUGAGGCGUGAUGACGAGGCACUACGGUGCUGAAGCAACAAAUGCCCUGCUUCCAGGAAAAGCCUCUAAGCAUCAGGUAACAUCAAAUCGUACCCCAAACCGACACAGGUGGUCAGGUAGAGAAUACCAAGGCGCUUGAGAGAACUCGGGUGAAGGAACUAGGCAAAAUGGUGCCGUAACUUCGGGAGAAGGCACGCUGAUAUGUAGGUGAAGUCCCUCGCGGAUGGAGCUGAAAUCAGUCGAAGAUACCAGCUGGCUGCAACUGUUUAUUAAAAACACAGCACUGUGCAAACACGAAAGUGGACGUAUACGGUGUGACGCCUGCCCGGUGCCGGAAGGUUAAUUGAUGGGGUCAGCGCAAGCGAAGCUCUUGAUCGAAGCCCCGGUAAACGGCGGCCGUAACUAUAACGGUCCUAAGGUAGCGAAAUUCCUUGUCGGGUAAGUUCCGACCUGCACGAAUGGCGUAAUGAUGGCCAGGCUGUCUCCACCCGAGACUCAGUGAAAUUGAACUCGCUGUGAAGAUGCAGUGUACCCGCGGCAAGACGGAAAGACCCCGUGAACCUUUACUAUAGCUUGACACUGAACAUUGAGCCUUGAUGUGUAGGAUAGGUGGGAGGCUUUGAAGUGUGGACGCCAGUCUGCAUGGAGCCGACCUUGAAAUACCACCCUUUAAUGUUUGAUGUUCUAACGUUGACCCGUGAUCCGGGUUGCGGACAGUGUCUGGUGGGUAGUUUGACUGGGGCGGUCUCCUCCUAAAGAGUAACGGAGGAGCACGAAGGUUGGCUAAUCCUGGUCGGACAUCAGGAGGUUAGUGCAAUGGCAUAAGCCAGCUUGACUGCGAGCGUGACGGCGCGAGCAGGUGCGAAAGCAGGUCAUAGUGAUCCGGUGGUUCUGAAUGGAAGGGCCAUCGCUCAACGGAUAAAAGGUACUCCGGGGAUAACAGGCUGAUACCGCCCAAGAGUUCAUAUCGACGGCGGUGUUUGGCACCUCGAUGUCGGCUCAUCACAUCCUGGGGCUGAAGUAGGUCCCAAGGGUAUGGCUGUUCGCCAUUUAAAGUGGUACGCGAGCUGGGUUUAGAACGUCGUGAGACAGUUCGGUCCCUAUCUGCCGUGGGCGCUGGAGAACUGAGGGGGGCUGCUCCUAGUACGAGAGGACCGGAGUGGACGCAUCACUGGUGUUCGGGUUGUCAUGCCAAUGGCACUGCCCGGUAGCUAAAUGCGGAAGAGAUAAGUGCUGAAAGCAUCUAAGCACGAAACUUGCCCCGAGAUGAGUUCUCCCUGACUCCUUGAGAGUCCUGAAGGAACGUUGAAGACGACGACGUUGAUAGGCCGGGUGUGUAAGCGCAGCGAUGCGUUGAGCUAACCGGUACUAAUGAACCGUGAGGCUUAACCU